This 119-nucleotide ribosomal RNA is filed under the name Triticum aestivum (bread wheat). Lineage: Eukaryota; Viridiplantae; Streptophyta; Magnoliopsida; Poales; Poaceae. The record is from RNAcentral. RNAcentral also lists the same sequence under 1 other name.
GGAUGCGAUCAUACCAGCACUAAAGCACCGGAUCCCAUCAGAACUCCGAAGUUAAGCGUGCUUGGGCGAGAGUAGUACUAUGAUGGGUGACCUCCUGGGAAGUCCUCGUGUUGCAUUCC